This 253-nucleotide ribosomal RNA is filed under the name uncultured bacterium. RNAcentral's name for it is "partial 16S ribosomal RNA". It matches the Rfam family "Bacterial small subunit ribosomal RNA", at positions 524 to 776 of the family's 1533-position model. The record is from RNAcentral.
UACGUAGGGUGCGAGCGUUAAUCGGAAUUACUGGGCGUAAAGCGUGCGCAGGCGGUUUUGUAAGACAGAGGGGAAAUCCCCGGGCUUAACCUGGGAACUGCCUUUGUGACUGCAAGGCUUGAGUGCGGCAGAGGGGGAUGGAAUUCCGCGUGUAGCAGUGAAAUGCGUAGAUAUGCGGAGGAACACCGAUGGCGAAGGCAAUCCCCUGGACCUGUACUGACGCUCAUGCACGAAAGCGUGGGGAGCAAACAGG